UCUUUUUUAUUGCAAUUUAAUAAUUAUGUUAAACAAAAAAAUUAAAAUUCUCACGGUGAAUUGUGAGAGAAAUAAUAGGGACUGUUAACAAAGUAUUAUGAUAUUCAUUAUAUAAAGUAAAAUUUAGUAACUUUUAACACUUUGUAGUAGACGCUGUCAUUUUUAGAAUUUCUUCACAUCUUUAAGGCCCAUGUAUUUGUAUAGUGUUCGGGCUCGGGGCAUAAACUCCCAUUUUAAAGACACCUCUUCUUCAGAGUAUGGUUACACCGUCGUUCUGAGAAUGGCCAGAUAAUUUACUGCACACAUUCUAUCCCUUAGAAUGAUAUAAUCUACUAUCAUUAGAAUCUUCUAACAUUCUUGCCCUUAUCCAGUAAAUUGAUCUCACACCAAAUGGUGAGUAGCAAUACUAUAACCGAACCGCCCGCGUGGUUAACUGUCUUAAUUGUAUACUUAGGGUUACACGCUUGUCUUUCAGGACGCCUGACAUACGUUUUCUGUCAUAAUCGAUUCGCCAUUUCUCUGCUCGAUAUCUCAUGCUCGGUAGUACUCAAAAUAUUGUCGGUUUGUUUGAACAUCUGAUUGGUUUCUAUCCAACAAUUGACGAAACAAAGGCAGCUAUUUGAUAUUUAAUGCUGGCUACUGAGCAAGGUGGAAAGACGAAAGUUUCAAAACCUCCAAUAACGGGAAUCAAUACAAAAAUUCAAUACUGACUAACUAAAUUUACGCCAAUUAAAAUAAAAACAUUUAAUAUUUUUACUAUGAUUAUCACUCACUGCUUCUAACUGGAUUUUGGUUAAUUUUUGGAAUGUUUUGGUAGCAUUUAAAGAGAAAACGUUAUUUAUCUGGAUAGAUGCUUCAAAAGUAUUCAAUGUAUAUAAGUUUAAUUUUCUACAUCCGACCCUCACCUGGAGAUAAACGUGUGAUAGUGCUAUCCGACUUCCGCCAACCCACACAUCCAUCGUACG
Zeugodacus cucurbitae (melon fly) is the source of this 965-nucleotide long non-coding RNA. RefSeq lists it as uncharacterized. The transcript is spliced from 3 exons. The record is from RefSeq and is a predicted model, not a curated record. NCBI's taxonomy places the organism in Eukaryota, Metazoa, Arthropoda, Insecta, Diptera, Tephritidae.